CAGAUCAGAUUGGAUGCCUUGGAGCUGCUUCUUAUUCACUGGUCUUGUGUCACUUUGCACGCACACAGGACAAGGCCAACAGCUACUGUUUUCCAGACCUACCUGCUGAGCCUGAUGACCUCCCUGUGAUUGUUGAAUCUAUGAAAAGUCAUAGGGUACAGACCAACAUCCCAGCUGCUGUAGCAAUGGAGACAGAGGAUCCCUGCCCUGCUGUUACUCUCAGGUAAUCCAGAUUACAGUUGUUCUCAUUCCAUUUGUGAAUAUUGAAGACAUACGAAGACAGGAGGAGUUACCAGCUGAAGGGAGGAGAUGAAAUGAGGAGAAAAUAAAGGCGAGGAGGUUAUCUUAAAGAUAGAGACUGACACCCCCCCCCCAUCCCGUCCCCCAGGUCUUCCCGUCAAGAGGAUUAUAGACAUUAGGCAGGAUGGCUCUCUGUCUCUCCUGUCUCUUUCUGUCUUUCUCGGUCUGUCUCCUUUUCUGUCUCUGUCCGUCCGUCUUUCUCUCUUUCUUUAUCUCUCUGUCCGUCUCUCUUUGUCAGUUUUCACAGUGUUUGAUUACAGAUGACGAGUCUCAUUUAGUCUUCAUUAACUCCUGCUAAUUAAUGUCUAUUGUAAUUUGAGUUUAGAGGUGAUCGGCUGCUUUGUGACAGCUCGUUAUUUCAACUAAUGAACCCCAUUGCAUGUAUGUGUGUAAAUUCCCACCGGGCACAGAUAUGAAUGUCAAAUCACCACCGAAUUUAAUACAACUUAAUUAACAGUGUCAGAUCAUUACAGAAGUUAGAGGGGUGGGGCAGUCAACUGAUGUAGAAAGGGUGGAAAGCCAGAUGGUUUAUUUUAAAAUUCUUUAAGUAGUUUAUUUGUAGAAGUUAUUUAUCUGUGAUGGUACUUGAUGCUCAGAUUUGAUUAGUGAUUAAUUUAUAGAUGUAUGUGUUAUUUAUCUGGAUGUUACUAGAAUAGUAUGAUUACUAUAUCAUGGAAAAAUGGCACUUUAAUUAUGGAAUGUAGAACUAUUAGUUAAUAAUGAUUAUAAUUCAUGGUUGUGUUUGUUGUACUUACUAUUCAUGUGGAUCUCCUAAUUCAGUUGUGCUUUGGGUCUAAUUGUCUUGCUGCACCACAUAUCAAAUUAACAAUAUUAAUGAAGUUAAAGUUAAAGUUGAGCGUGGUUAACAGCAGAUGAGCAGGCAGAGGAUUUAGAGCAAUGGAAACAAACAAACAUCUCACUAUCACUAACAUUAUCCAUAUUCAUAUUCAGACCCAACAAAUUAUAUAUCUGCUACAAAAAGCCUGGAAGUCGGAAGAUAGAACUGAAGUACAAAGAGUUGCUAUGGAGAUAAUGCAGACCGAUGUGUUGCAAGUAAUUGCAAGUUUUAACUCGUCCCUUCUUGACUCUGUGGUCUGAACUGUGCUGAAGAGAGCUGAAACAACGUUCUGUUUGAUAGCAUUGAUUAGUGUGAUGUGUUGCAGGAGUGCAGCUCGGGGCAGGUGAAACAGCAAUCAGGAGACUCAGACAUGCACGCACGCAUGCACACAGACACACACAUACACACACACACACACACACACGCAUGCACACAGACACAGAC
Molecule: long non-coding RNA, 1582 nt
Organism: Perca flavescens (yellow perch)
Lineage: Eukaryota; Metazoa; Chordata; Actinopteri; Perciformes; Percidae
Exons: 3
Source: RefSeq, a predicted model, not a curated record